GAUGAACGCUGGCGGCGUGCUUAACACAUGCAAGUCGAACGGUGAAGGCGGAGCUUGCUCUGCUGGAUCAGUGGCGAACGGGUGAGUAACACGUGAGCAAUCUGCCCCUGACUCUGGGAUAAGCGCUGGAAACGGCGUCUAAUACUGGAUACGAGCUGCGAAGGCAUCUUCAGCAGCUGGAAAGAACUUCGGUCAGGGAUGAGCUCGCGGCCUAUCAGCUUGUUGGUGAGGUAACGGCUCACCAAGGCGUCGACGGGUAGCCGGCCUGAGAGGGUGACCGGCAACAGUGGGACGGAGAUACGGACGAGAGUACUACGGGAGGCAGCAGUGGGGAAUAGUGCACAAUGGGCGGAAGCCUGAUGCAGCAACGCCGCGUGGGGGAGGACGGCCGUCGGGGUGUAAACCGAUUUCGCCGGUGAAGAAGCGUGAGUGAAGGGAAUGGGUAAAGAAGAACCGGCUAACUACGUG
This 468-nucleotide ribosomal RNA is filed under the name uncultured bacterium. Its description in RNAcentral is "partial 16S ribosomal RNA". It matches the Rfam family "Bacterial small subunit ribosomal RNA", at positions 28 to 507 of the family's 1533-position model. The record is from RNAcentral.